This 301-nucleotide ribosomal RNA is filed under the name uncultured bacterium. RNAcentral describes it as "partial 16S ribosomal RNA". It matches the Rfam family "Bacterial small subunit ribosomal RNA", at positions 509 to 807 of the family's 1533-position model. The record is from RNAcentral.
CAGCCGCCACGGUAACACGUAGGGUGCAAGCGUUAAUCGGAAUUACUGGGCGUAAAGCGUGCGCAGGCGGUUAUAUAAGACAGAUGUGAAAUCCCCGGGCUCAACCUGGGAACUGCAUUUGUGACUGUAUAGCUAGAGUACGGCAGAGGGGGAUGGAAUUCCGCGUGUAGCAGUGAAAUGCGUAGAUAUGCGGAGGAACACCGAUGGCGAAGGCAAUCCCCUGGGCCUGUACUGACGCUCAUGCACGAAAGCGUGGGGAGCAAACAGGAUUAGAUACCCCGGUAGUCCCUGUCUCUUAUAC